ACUCCUACGGGAGGCAGCAGUGGGGAAUAUUGCACAAUGGGCGCAAGCCUGAUGCAGCCAUGCCGCGUGUAUGAAGAAGGCCUUCGGGUUGUAAAGUACUUUCAGCGGGGAGGAAGGCAAUACGGUUAAUAACCGUGUUGAUCGACGUUACCCGCAGAAGAAGCACCGGCUAACUCCGUGCCAGCAGCCGCGGUAAUACGGAGGGUGCAAGCGUUAAUCGGAAUUACUGGGCGUAAAGCGCACGCAGGCGGUCUGUCAAGUCGGAUGUGAAAUCCCCGGGCUCAACCUGGGAACUGCAUUCGAAACUGGCAGGCUUGAGUCUUGUAGAGGGGGGUAGAAUUCCAGGUGUAGCGGUGAAAUGCGUAGAGAUCUGGAGGAAUACCGGUGGCGAAGGCGGCCCCCUGGACAAAGACUGACGCUCAGGUGCGAAAGCGUGGGGAGCAAACAGGAUUAGAAACCCGAGUAGUCCC
RNAcentral lists this ribosomal RNA (470 nucleotides) under uncultured organism. Its description in RNAcentral is "partial 16S ribosomal RNA". It matches the Rfam family "Bacterial small subunit ribosomal RNA", at positions 335 to 797 of the family's 1533-position model. The record is from RNAcentral.